This 274-nucleotide ribosomal RNA is filed under the name uncultured bacterium. RNAcentral's name for it is "partial 16S ribosomal RNA". It matches the Rfam family "Bacterial small subunit ribosomal RNA", at positions 523 to 796 of the family's 1533-position model. The record is from RNAcentral.
AUACGUAUGGGGCAAGCGUUGUUCGGAUUUAUUGGGCGUAAAGGGCACGCAGGCGGACUAUUAAGUUGGAUGUAUAAUCGUCAGGCUCAACCUGAUACCUGCAUCCAAAACUGAUAGUCUUGAGUUCUGGAGAGGAAAGCGGAAUUCUCGGUGUAGCGGUGGAAUGCGUAGAUAUCGAGAGGAACACCAAUGGCGAAGGCAGCUUUCUGGACAGAAACUGACGCUGAAACACGAAAGCUAGGGUAGCGAACGGGAUUAGAAACCCCGGUAGUCC